GAAAGCCUGACACCCAUGUCUUUAGUCCGGCAGCCGUGCUAGUCACUUUUAACUGGCCGACAGGUGCCCGGUAUUUAGCCCCCGAAUUCUAAGGAAAGAUAGGACAGAAUAGCAAGUGAAAGGGGUCCGUGGUACUCACUGCUUGGUGAUAGGUGAUGGUCUCGCCGCUCAGCUAUAGGUGAUGGUCUCACCGCUUGGUGAUAGGCGAAAGUCCCAUCUGGGUCGCCAAAAUGUGUCCGGAAUUGGUGGGUUCUUGGUCUCACUGACUUCAAGAAUGAAACUGCGGACCCUUGCGGUGAGUGUUACAGCUCUUAAGGUGGUGCGUCUGGAGUUUGUUCCUUCUGAUGUUCGGAUGUGUUCGGAGUUUCUUCCUUCUGGUGGGUUCGUGGUCUCGCUGGCUCAGGAGUGAAGCUGCAGACCUUUGCGGUGAGUGUUACAGCUCUUAAGGCGGCACAUCUGGAGUUGUUCGUUCCUCCCGGCGGGCUCGUGGUCUCGCUGGCUUCAGGAGUGAAGCUGCAGGCCUUCGUGGUGAGUGUUACAGCUCAUAAAAGCAGCAUGGACCCAAAGAGUGAGCAGUAGCAAGAUUUAUUGCAAAGAGCAAAAGAACAAAGCUUCCACAGUGUGGAAG
RNAcentral lists this long non-coding RNA (628 nucleotides) under Homo sapiens (human). Its description in RNAcentral is "PREDICTED lncRNA (TCONS_00060123)". Lineage: Eukaryota; Metazoa; Chordata; Mammalia; Primates; Hominidae. The record is from RNAcentral.